GGGUUUCUGCGUCCGUAGGUGAACCUGCGGAAGGAUCAUUAAAAA
RNAcentral lists this ribosomal RNA (45 nucleotides) under Ascomycota sp. Da_BeP_I11. RNAcentral's name for it is "18S ribosomal RNA". The record is from RNAcentral. Lineage: Eukaryota; Fungi; Ascomycota.